UUGACAGCCCUGUUCUAGAAGAUGCUCUGAAUUGCUAGCGUGGAAAAGACCACUGUGAAUCUACCAAAAAAAAUUGCUAGUAAUUUAGAGAGACACUGAAAUACAGAUAAGAUGUCUGCAGAAAUUCAUUCUUUUAACAGCCAGUUCUCCUUUUCAUGCAUGGAUAUAUUUCGAUCAAAAGUCUUUCUCAGAGGAAUCAUGACUGAAAAGAAUUUAACUUUGGAUCAUAAAUAUUAUUCUGAGUGGUAAAUCCUCCUACAUUAUGUCAACCAAAGAUUGGCUGAAAGAGAGCAAAGGAAGCUGAUUGUGUAGGGGAAAAAAAAUCAGCCAAGCUUCAAAAGUCACUGAAGAGUUUGGAUGUUCUUCCUUCGGGUGAAAUCAUUCUAGUGCAAUAAAGCAAAAUAAAAUCAUUUGAAAAAA
Pantherophis guttatus is the source of this 420-nucleotide non-coding RNA. The record is from RefSeq and is a predicted model, not a curated record. Lineage: Eukaryota; Metazoa; Chordata; Lepidosauria; Squamata; Colubridae.